Molecule: ribosomal RNA, 161 nt
Filed under: Vibrio parahaemolyticus
Lineage: Bacteria; Pseudomonadati; Pseudomonadota; Gammaproteobacteria; Vibrionales; Vibrionaceae
Description: partial 16S ribosomal RNA
Rfam family: Bacterial small subunit ribosomal RNA
Source: RNAcentral
UUAAAUUGAAGAGUUUGAUCAUGGCUCAGAUUGAACGCUGGCGGCAGGCCUAACACAUGCAAGUCGAGCGGAAACGAGUUAUCUGAACCUUCGGGGGACGAUAACGGCGUCGAGCGGCGGACGGGUGAGUAAUGCCUAGGAAAUUGCCCUGAUGUGGGGGA